This 481-nucleotide ribosomal RNA is filed under the name uncultured bacterium. RNAcentral describes it as "partial 16S ribosomal RNA". It matches the Rfam family "Bacterial small subunit ribosomal RNA", at positions 30 to 507 of the family's 1533-position model. The record is from RNAcentral.
UUGAACGCUGGCGGCAUGCUUUACACAUGCAAGUCGAACGGUAACAGGCCGCAAGGUGCUGACGAGUGGCGAACGGGUGAGUAAUGCAUCGGAACGUGCCCAGUCGUGGGGGAUAACUACUCGAAAGAGUAGCUAAUACCGCAUACGAUCUAUGGAUGAAAGCGGGGGACCGUAAGGCCUUGCGCGAUUUGAGUGGCCGAUGUCAGAUUAGGUAGUUGGUGGGGUAAAGGCUCACCAAGCCAACGAUCUGUAGCUGGUCUGAGAGGACGACCAGCCACACUGGGACUGAGACACGGCCCAGACUCCUACGGGAGGCAGCAGUGGGGAAUUUUGGACAAUGGGCGCAAGCCUGAUCCAGCAAUGCCGCGUGCAGGAAGAAGGCCUUCGGGUUGUAAACUGCUUUUGUACGGAGCGAAACGGCUCUGGUUAAUACCCGGGGCUAAUGACGGUACCGUAAGAAUAAGCACCGGCUAACUACGUG